ACCGCAUAACGUCGCAAGACCAAAGAGGGGGACCUUCGGGCCUCUUGCCAUCAGAUGUGCCCAGAUGGGAUUAGCUAGUAGGUGGGGUAAUGGCUCACCUAGGCGACGAUCCCUAGCUGGUCUGAGAGGAUGACCAGCCACACUGGAACUGAGACACGGUCCAGACUCCUACGGGAGGCAGCAGUGGGGAAUAUUGCACAAUGGGCGCAAGCCUGAUGCAGCCAUGCCGCGUGUGUGAAGAAGGCCUUCGGGUUGUAAAGCACUUUCAGCGAGGAGGAAGGUGGUGAACUUAAUACGUUCAUCAAUUGACGUUACUCGCAGAAGAAGCACCGGCUAACUCCGUGCCAGCAGCCGCGGUAAUACGGAGGGUGCAAGCGUUAAUCGGAAUUACUGGGCGUAAAGCGCACGCAGGCGGUUUGUUAAGUCAGAUGUGAAAUCCCCGGGCUCAACCUGGGAACUGCAUUUGAAACUGGCAAGCUAGAGUCUCGUAGAGGGGGGUAGAAUUCCAGGUGUAGCGGUGAAAUGCGUAGAGAUCUGGAGGAAUACCGGUGGCGAAGGCG
Molecule: ribosomal RNA, 560 nt
Filed under: Serratia sp. (in: enterobacteria)
Lineage: Bacteria; Pseudomonadati; Pseudomonadota; Gammaproteobacteria; Enterobacterales; Yersiniaceae
Description: bacterial SSU rRNA
Rfam family: Bacterial small subunit ribosomal RNA
Source: RNAcentral